AUUGAACGCUGGCGGAAUGCUUUACACAUGCAAGUCGAACGGCAGCACGGACUUCGGUCUGGUGGCGAGUGGCGAACGGGUGAGUAAUAUAUCGGAACGUGCCCAGUCGUGGGGGAUAACGUAGUGAAAAUUACGCUAAUACCGCAUACGAUCUAUGGAUGAAAGCGGGGGACCUUUGGGCCUCGCGCGAUUGGAGCGGCCGAUAUCAGAUUAGGUAGUUGGUGGGGUAAAGGCUCACCAAGCCAACGAUCUGUAGCUGGUCUGAGAGGACGACCAGCCACACUGGGACUGAGACACGGCCCAGACUCCUACGGGAGGCAGCAGUGGGGAAUUUUGGACAAUGGACGCAAGUCUGAUCCAGCCAUUCCGCGUGCAGGACGAAGGCCUUCGGGUUGUAAACUGCUUUUGUACAGAACGAAAAGGUUUCUAUUAAUACUAGGAGCUCAUGACGGUACUGUAAGAAUAAGCACCGGCUAACUACGUGCCAGCAGCCGCGGUAA
Molecule: ribosomal RNA, 500 nt
Filed under: uncultured bacterium
Lineage: Bacteria
Description: partial 16S ribosomal RNA
Rfam family: Bacterial small subunit ribosomal RNA
Source: RNAcentral